This 460-nucleotide ribosomal RNA is filed under the name uncultured bacterium. RNAcentral's name for it is "partial 16S ribosomal RNA". It matches the Rfam family "Bacterial small subunit ribosomal RNA", at positions 338 to 795 of the family's 1533-position model. The record is from RNAcentral.
CCUACGGGUGGCAGCAGUGAGGAAUAUUGGUCAAUGGACGAGAGUCUGAACCAGCCAAGUAGCGUGAAGGCUGACUGCCCUAUGGGUUGUAAACUUCUUUUAUAAAGGAAUAAAACGAGGCACGUGUGCCUUUUUGCAUGUACUUUAUGAAUAAGGAUCGGCUAACUCCGUGCCAGCAGCCGCGGUAAUACGGAGGAUCCGAGCGUUAUCCGGAUUUAUUGGGUUUAAAGGGAGCGUAGAUGGGUUGUUAAGUCAGUUGGGAAAGUUUGCGGCUCAAACGUAAAAUUGCCAGUGAUACUGGAAGUCUUGAGUACAGUUGAGGUAGGCGGAAUUCGUGGUGUAGCGGUGAAAUGCUUAGAUAUCACGAAGAACCCCGAUUGCGAAGGCAGCUUACUAAACUGUGACUGACAUUGAUGCUCGAAAGUGUGGGUAUCAAACAGGAUUAGAUACCCGGGUAGUC